UACGGAGGAUGCGAGCGUUAUCCGGAUUUAUUGGGUUUAAAGGGUGCGCAGGCGGAGGUGCAAGUCAGCGGUCAAAUUGCGGGGCUCAACCUCGUCGAGCCGUUGAAACUGGGUGCCUUGAGUGGGCGAGAAGUACGCGGAAUGCGUGGUGUAGCGGUGAAAUGCAUAGAUAUCGCGCAGAACUCCGAUUGCGAAGGCAGCAUGCCGGCUCCACACUGACGCUGAGGCACGAAAGCGUGGGUAUCGAACAGG
This 252-nucleotide ribosomal RNA is filed under the name uncultured Bacteroidales bacterium. RNAcentral describes it as "partial 16S ribosomal RNA". It matches the Rfam family "Bacterial small subunit ribosomal RNA", at positions 524 to 776 of the family's 1533-position model. Lineage: Bacteria; Pseudomonadati; Bacteroidota; Bacteroidia; Bacteroidales. The record is from RNAcentral.